UCUUCCUUGGUCUAGUGGUCAUGAUUUCCGCUUGUCAAUCGGGCUACCCGAUAACAAGCGCGGGAGACCGGGGUUCGAUUCCCCGAGGGAGAG
Molecule: transfer RNA, 93 nt
Filed under: Delitschia confertaspora ATCC 74209
Lineage: Eukaryota; Fungi; Ascomycota; Dothideomycetes; Pleosporales; Delitschiaceae
Rfam family: tRNA
About the family: Transfer RNA (tRNA) molecules are approximately 80 nucleotides in length. Their secondary structure includes four short double-helical elements and three loops (D, anti-codon, and T loops). Further hydrogen bonds mediate the characteristic L-shaped molecular structure. tRNAs have two regions of fundamental functional importance: the anti-codon, which is responsible for specific mRNA codon recognition, and the 3' end, to which the tRNAs corresponding amino acid is attached (by aminoacyl-tRNA synthetases). tRNAs cope with the degeneracy of the genetic code in two manners: having more than one tRNA (with a specific anti-codon) for a particular amino acid; and 'wobble' base-pairing, i.e. permitting non-standard base-pairing at the 3rd anti-codon position.
Source: Rfam by way of RNAcentral